This 497-nucleotide ribosomal RNA is filed under the name uncultured bacterium. RNAcentral describes it as "partial 16S ribosomal RNA". It matches the Rfam family "Bacterial small subunit ribosomal RNA", at positions 28 to 507 of the family's 1533-position model. The record is from RNAcentral.
GAUGAACGCUGGCGGCGUGCCUAAUACAUGCAAGUCGAGCGAACAGACGAGGAGCUUGCUCCUCUGACGUUAGCGGCGGACGGGUGAGUAACACGUGGAUAACCUACCUAUAAGACUGGGAUAACUUCGGGAAACCGGAGCUAAUACCGGAUAAUAUAUUGAACCGCAUGGUUCAAUAGUGAAAGACGGUUUUGCUGUCACUUAUAGAUGGAUCCGCGCCGCAUUAGCUAGUUGGUAAGGUAACGGCUUACCAAGGCAACGAUGCGUAGCCGACCUGAGAGGGUGAUCGGCCACCCUGGAACGGAGCCACGGUCCAGAGGCCUACGGGAGGCAGCAGUAGGGAAUGUUACGCAAUGGGCGAAAGCCUGACGGAGCAACGCCGAGUGAGUGAUGAAGGUCUUCGGAUCGUAAAACUCUGUUAUUAGGGAAGAACAAAUGUGUACGUAAACAUGCACGUCGUGACGGUACCUAAUCAGAAAGCCACGGCUAACUACGUG